GCAAAUGGUUCUUUGUUAUGCUUAUAAUAUUCUCAGUAGGUUACUAGUUACAUAAUAAAAUGAGCAGUUAGAAGAUUCUCGUUGACUUGCUGAGACGAAAUUUGAGGAAAUGCAUUGAAUGUUUUAUAUGAUCAAGUCACAUUCAUAUCCACUUCAUGCAUGCUCAUGAAUAAUUUCAAAACAUGUUAGGUUUUCCUAUCUAAUAGGGUUCACCGAUCACCCAUGUCAAGCCUGCUCUGCAAUUCCCCAAAUUUCCAUGCCCUGUGCACUCUGCCAUUCCAGAAAUGCCGGUCCAUUCUCCUUCCCCAGAGCCAAUCCAAAUCUAUUUUGGCCAUUUAUCGUCUUCCUCCUAGUCGGGCUUACUCUUGCCCAAAAGGGUAUGCCAGAUUCUCACUCUCCAACACACACGAACUUUUUCCGACGCGGAAGGCAAAGGAUUCUCCGGUGUGGUGACGAUCCGGCCAUGUGCUCGGACCGGGAGAGGAAUCCAUGGGGUGGUGACACUUGUUGUUUUCAAAAGUUUUGCAAGGAUAUCACAAGCGAUUCAAACCACUGUGGGGGAUGUGGGCAUGCUUGUGGUUUUGGGCUUGUUUGUUGCGAUGGAAAGUGUGUUGAUGUUCAAAGUGAUUCUAUGCACUGUGGUGCUUGUUUUGAGGAGUGUCCUGGUGAAAAUAGGUGCUCCUAUGCAAUGUGUGAUUAUGGUGGAUGAUUGAUUUUGCUUGAAUUCUUAACCAUUUGGUCAAUAGAUUGUGUGUUAUUUUGGUCA
Long non-coding RNA from Camellia sinensis, 766 nucleotides. RefSeq lists it as uncharacterized. The record is from RefSeq and is a predicted model, not a curated record. NCBI's taxonomy places the organism in Eukaryota, Viridiplantae, Streptophyta, Magnoliopsida, Ericales, Theaceae.